Molecule: transfer RNA, 77 nt
Filed under: Pseudomonas sp.
Lineage: Bacteria; Pseudomonadati; Pseudomonadota; Gammaproteobacteria; Pseudomonadales; Pseudomonadaceae
Description: tRNA-Val
Rfam family: tRNA
About the family: Transfer RNA (tRNA) molecules are approximately 80 nucleotides in length.
Source: RNAcentral
AGGCACAUAGCUAAGUUGGUUAGAGCACCACCUUGACAUGGUGGGGGUCGUUGGUUCGAGUCCAAUCGUGCCUACCA